UAGGGAAUCUUCGGCAAUGGACGGAAGUCUGACCGAGCAACGCCGCGUGAGUGAAGAAGGUUUUCGGAUUGUAAAGCUCUGUUGUUAGAGAAGAACGUUGGUAGGAGUGGAAAAUCUACCAAGUGACGGUAACUAACCAGAAAGGGACGGCUAACUACGUGCCAGCAGCCGCGGUAAUACGUAGGUCCCGAGCGUUGUCCGGAUUUAUUGGGCGUAAAGCGAGCGCAGGCGGUUCUUUAAGUCUGAAGUUAAAGGCAGUGGCUUAACCAUUGUACGCUUUGGAAACUGGAGGACUUGAGUGCAGAAGGGGAGGGGGGAAUUCCAUGUGUAGCGGUGAAAUGCGUAGAUAUAUGGAGGAACACCGGUGGCGAAAGCGGCUCUCUGGUCUGUAACUGACGCUGAGGCUCGAAAGCGUGGGGAGCAAACAGG
This 429-nucleotide ribosomal RNA is filed under the name Bacillota bacterium. RNAcentral's name for it is "Firmicutes bacterium partial 16S ribosomal RNA". It matches the Rfam family "Bacterial small subunit ribosomal RNA", at positions 355 to 776 of the family's 1533-position model. Lineage: Bacteria; Bacillati; Bacillota. The record is from RNAcentral.